CCUACGUGUGUCAGCAGUGAGGAAUAUUGGUCAAUGGGCGCAAGCCUGAACCAGCCAAGUAGCGUGACGGAUGACUGCCCUACGGGUUGUAAACUUCUUUUAUAAAGGAAUAAAGUGAGGCACGUGUGCCUUUUUGUAUGUACUUUAUGAAUAAGGAUCGGCUAACUCCGUGCCAGCAGCCGCGGUAAUACGGAGGAUCCGAGCUUUAUCCGGAUUUAUUGGGUUUAAAGGGAGCGUAUAUGGGUUGUUAAGUCAGUUGUGAAAGUUUGCGGCUCAACCGUAAAAUUGCAAUUGAUACUGGCAGCCUUGAGUACAGUUGAGGUAGGCGGAAUUCGUGGUGUAGAGGGGAAAUGAUUAGAUAUCACGAAGAACUCCGAUUGCGAAGGCAGCUUACUAAACUGCCACUGACAUUGAUGCUCGAAAGUGUGGGUAUCAAACAGGAUUAGAUACCCGAGUAGUC
RNAcentral lists this ribosomal RNA (460 nucleotides) under uncultured bacterium. RNAcentral's name for it is "partial 16S ribosomal RNA". It matches the Rfam family "Bacterial small subunit ribosomal RNA", at positions 338 to 795 of the family's 1533-position model. The record is from RNAcentral.